Molecule: ribosomal RNA, 253 nt
Filed under: uncultured bacterium
Lineage: Bacteria
Description: partial 16S ribosomal RNA
Rfam family: Bacterial small subunit ribosomal RNA
Source: RNAcentral
UACGAAGGGUGCAAACGUUGCUCGGAAUUAUUGGGCGUAAAGCGCACGUAGGCGGCUUAGCAAGUCGGAUGUGAAAUCCCUCGGCUCAACCAAGGAAGUGCAUCCGAAACUGCUGAGCUUGAGUACGAAAGAGGAUCGCGGAAUUCCCAGUGUAGAGGUGAAAUUCGUAGAUAUUGGGAAGAACACCAGUGGCGAAGGCGGCUAACUGGUCCAGAUCUGACGCUGAGGUGCGAAAGCGUGGGGAGCAAACAGG